UACGUAGGGGGCAAGCGUUAUCCGGAAUUACUGGGUGUAAAGGGUGAGUAGGCGGCAUGGUAAGCCAGAUGUGAAAGCCUUGGGCUUAACCCGAGGAUUGCAUUGGAACUAUCAAGCUAGAGUACAGGAGAGGAAAGCGGAAUUCCUUGUGUAGCGGUGAAAUGCGUAGAUAUUAGGAAGAACACCAGUGGCGAAGGCAGCUUUCUGGACUGAAACUGACGCUGAGGCACGAAAGCGUGGGGAGCGAACAGG
RNAcentral lists this ribosomal RNA (252 nucleotides) under uncultured bacterium. RNAcentral's name for it is "partial 16S ribosomal RNA". It matches the Rfam family "Bacterial small subunit ribosomal RNA", at positions 524 to 776 of the family's 1533-position model. The record is from RNAcentral.